RNAcentral lists this unclassified non-coding RNA (165 nucleotides) under Mycobacteroides salmoniphilum. RNAcentral's name for it is "partial 16S-23S ribosomal RNA intergenic spacer". The record is from RNAcentral. Lineage: Bacteria; Bacillati; Actinomycetota; Actinomycetes; Mycobacteriales; Mycobacteriaceae.
UAAAGCGAGUAUCUGUAGUGGAUACAUGCUUGGUGAAUAUGUUUUAUAAAUCCUAUCCACCCCGUGGAUAGGUAGUCGGCAAAACGUCGAACUGUCAUAAGAAUUGAAACGCUGGCACACUGUUGGGUCCUGAGGCAACACGUUGUGUUGUCACCCUGCUUGGUG